AGCUUUGGGCAGUGCGGGCUCAGCGGGCGGGGCCUCGCUUCCGCUUCCGCUCGGCGGCUCCGAAGGCGCCGCAGCCGCCACGAUGCUCAUCAAAGUCAAGACGCUGACAGGGAAGGAGAUCGAGAUCGACAUCGAACCCACGGACAAGGUGAGCGCCCAGUUCGGACCAGUAGGAACCAGUAAGGAGCGGCGGGGGGGCAGGGGGGGAGCGGCAGGGGUCUCCCAGUUCAUCCCAGUAU
Molecule: long non-coding RNA, 239 nt
Filed under: Chloebia gouldiae (Gouldian finch)
Lineage: Eukaryota; Metazoa; Chordata; Aves; Passeriformes; Passeridae
Description: Erythrura gouldiae (Gouldian finch) lncRNA (ENSEGOG00005010910.1)
Source: RNAcentral